RNAcentral lists this ribosomal RNA (253 nucleotides) under uncultured bacterium. RNAcentral describes it as "partial 16S ribosomal RNA". It matches the Rfam family "Bacterial small subunit ribosomal RNA", at positions 524 to 776 of the family's 1533-position model. The record is from RNAcentral.
UACGGAGGGUGCAAGCGUUAUCCGGAUUCACUGGGUUUAAAGGGUGCGUAGGCGGAUAGGUAAGUCCGUGGUGAAAUCCUGCAGCUUAACUGCAGAACUGCCAUGGAUACUAUUUAUCUUGAAUGUCGUGGAGGUUAGCAGAAUAUGUCAUGUAGCGGUGAAAUGCUUAGAUAUGUGGAGGAACACCGAUGGCGAAGGCAGCCCCCUGGGCUAACACUGACGCUCAUGCACGAAAGCGUGGGGAGCAAACAGG